This 468-nucleotide ribosomal RNA is filed under the name uncultured bacterium. RNAcentral describes it as "partial 16S ribosomal RNA". It matches the Rfam family "Bacterial small subunit ribosomal RNA", at positions 28 to 507 of the family's 1533-position model. The record is from RNAcentral.
GGCGAACGCUGGCGGCGUGCUUAACACAUGCAAGUCGAACGGAAAGGCCCUGCUUUUGUGUGGUGCUCGAGUGGCGAACGGGUGAGUAACACGUGAGUAACCUGCCCUUGACUUUGGGAUAACUUCAGGAAACUGGGGCUAAUACCGGAUAGGAGCUCCUGCUUCAUGGUGGGGGUUGGAAAGUUUCGGCGGUUGGGGAUGGACUCGCGGCUUAUCAGCUUGUUGGUGGGGUAGUGGCUUACCAAGGCUUUGACGGGUAGCCGGCCUGAGAGGGUGACCGGCCACAUUGGGACUGAGAUACGGCCCAGACUCCUACGGGAGGCAGCAGUGGGGAAUAUUGCACAAUGGGCGGAAGCCUGAUGCAGCAACGCCGCGUGCGGGAUGACGGCCUUCGGGUUGUAAACCGCUUUCGCCUGUGACGAAGCGUGAGUGACGGUAAUGGGUAAAGAAGCACCGGCUAACUACGUG